RNAcentral lists this ribosomal RNA (253 nucleotides) under uncultured bacterium. RNAcentral's name for it is "partial 16S ribosomal RNA". It matches the Rfam family "Bacterial small subunit ribosomal RNA", at positions 524 to 776 of the family's 1533-position model. The record is from RNAcentral.
UACGUAGGGUGCGAGCGUUAAUCGGAAUUACUGGGCGUAAAGCGUGCGCAGGCGGUUCGCCAAGUCAGGUGUGAAAUCCCCGGGCUUAACCUGGGAAUUGCGCUUGAAACUAGCGGGCUUGAGUGUGGCAGAGGGGGGUGGAAUUCCACGUGUAGCAGUGAAAUGCGUAUAGAUGUGGAGGAACACCGAUGGCGAAGGCAGCCCCCUGGGUCAACACUGACGCUCAUGCACGAAAGCGUGGGGAGCAAACAGG